GGAUGUGAGGCCAUCUGACUGUGACAUCUCUCUCCCCGUUGGCUGCCAGGUUGAUUGGGCUGAUCUGGCUGGCCAGGUGGGUGUCCUCUUUCUUCCUCCUGCUCCAGGUAUGUCCCUCCCAAAGCUGUGUGCUCGGUGUCAAAGGACAGUCUUCCCAGAAUAGAGGCAGAUCAUUUCUAUUUAAACAUUUAUAUCAGAGACCUCUGAGGCUGAAGCGAUAGCACAGUGGGGAGGGCAUUUGCCUUGCAUG
This 250-nucleotide small RNA is filed under the name Sorex araneus (European shrew). RNAcentral's name for it is "7SK RNA (ENSSARG00000019149.1)". The stretch from base 1 to 185 matches the Rfam family "7SK RNA". Rfam says of the family: 7SK was discovered as an abundant small nuclear RNA in the mid-70s but a possible function has only recently been suggested. Two independent studies have found that 7SK RNA binds the CDK9/cyclin T complex (known as elongation factor P-TEFb). P-TEFb activates transcription by phosphorylating the C-terminal domain of RNA polymerase II. Lineage: Eukaryota; Metazoa; Chordata; Mammalia; Eulipotyphla; Soricidae. The record is from RNAcentral.